UUGAGCUCAACUUUUUUCAAGUCUAAGCUCUCCUAUUUAUAUGAAUAGGGUAUUUCCGCACACUAGGUCAAACCCCUAAACCAUAUCUUUAGGAAUCCUUUACUUUCCUUUUUACUAUUUAGGAAAUUAACAUUCUUCUUCUUGUUUCCUUUAUCGCCAUAAAGGACGUCUUCUAGACACUUCUCUUUGCUUCGUGUCUUCAUAUCACCGACCUUG
RNAcentral lists this long non-coding RNA (216 nucleotides) under Capsella rubella. RNAcentral's name for it is "long non-coding RNA (CRUB_LNC005001)". The record is from RNAcentral. Lineage: Eukaryota; Viridiplantae; Streptophyta; Magnoliopsida; Brassicales; Brassicaceae.